This is a long non-coding RNA of Fukomys damarensis (Damara mole-rat), 2722 nucleotides long. The record is from Ensembl. NCBI's taxonomy places the organism in Eukaryota, Metazoa, Chordata, Mammalia, Rodentia, Bathyergidae.
CUGUGUUUGAACCCCUUUAGGAGCAUGGUGUCCUGGGGCAAUGUAUCUGACCUCCAGGACUCAAUCUCCUUAUCUGCAGAUGGGUACAUAAUUGUGACUCCUAGGGAUGCUGUAAAGAUUAAUUAUACCCUGAAGACAUUGAGUAACUGUACCAUGUUCCAUCCUAGACUCCAUCUUCCAUCUUCUCCAAGCCUCAAGUGAACAAGAAGUGUGAAUGAGUGGGGAAAGAAGCAUGGAAAGAAAACCUGGUCCUGAGGGUCAGGAGAAAGAACCUGCUGGACAGAGCCUAGUACUCAGGUACCCACCAAAAAGCUCUUUGGAAGGUGAAAUCCUGCUGACACUCAGGAUGGUGCUGUGGCCAUUUCAGGCAAGACUCCUGGAUGCUCAAAAUAGGCCUGCCAAGGUGAGGCUGUCAUUCAGUGGAACUCCAGGGACAGUUUACAGGCUCACCUUUGGAACACGCUGUGGUAAGUGUGCCAUUGCCCCAGCCAGCAGCCAGGCCUGCUGCACAGCAGCACGGCUCGCCCUCACUGAGGUCAGGGUGGUACUGGGGUGGCUUGAUGGAAAGAAGUGGAUCAGGCUCCAGAAACAUCACUACCUCACUCGUGCUAUCUCACCACACAAGGGACCCAGUGUUAGGUCUGGCCCCGGUCACGUCACAUGUCCAGCUCUGUUUCCAUCCCAGGCUGCAGUAUGCGGUCUGGGCCCUGGGAUCUGGGCUCCCUAGCCAGCUUCCACAUGCUUUGUGCUGUUCUGAGUGCUGAGAACCACAGAGGCCUGCACAGAUUGCUGUUGCUGAAGCUCACAGCACCAACCUAUAAGCCUAGUUCUGAGCACAUUUGUGAGAAAUGCUGACGCAUUCUGAGGACCCCUGUGGGAGUGUCCCUUGCUUACUGAAGAAUGAAACUUUGCUCUUCUCAAACUCUACUGAGUUGUAAAGUUUACAAGGAUCUUAGAGACAAUUAAAGCCAGUGACUAUCCAACUUGUUUAAAGAGACCCCAUAAAAAUCAUACUGUAUGCCUGUAUGGGAUUCUUAGGGCUGUCAAAACAAAACACUACAGGCAAGAAGGCUGAAACAACAUACAUUUAAUUUCUUUCUGUUCUAGAGGCCAGAAGUCCAGGAUCAAGAUUUCAGAGGGUUGGUUUCUCCUGAGACCCAUGGUCUUACAUGAUCAACCCUCUGCUUAUGUCUGUUUUCUGAUCCCUUCUUCUUUGAGGACAUCAGAUGAUAUGAGGAUAAGGUUCUCCUUGUGUGUAUAAGGGUUCUUCAGAACAGAGUAUGUAUAAGCCCCACAGUAGCUGUCUUCAGGCAAGAGACCCAGGCAAACCAAGAGCUAGAAGCCUCAGAACAAGAAGGACCUAUGAUGCAGCCACAGCCCAAAGCUGAGGGCCUGGAAGCUGAUGGUUCAAGCCUACAAAGGGGGAGGAAUCUUGUGUCCACAGGAGCCGACAGAAAGAAAAACACAUGUACCCAAGAAGGGUUGCUCAUGCAUGUGCGUGAACUUCCCUUCCUGCUUUCAGUUGCACUGGCCCCAACCUAUUGGAUGGUGUUAUUCUGCCUCAUUGUGGGUCUCCCCUCCCAGUUUGGGACCCACAUGCCAAUUUUCUCUGGGCAGACAUGCCAGAAGCCUGCUCUCUGAUUUUAGGCCUUCCCUCAAUGCAGUCAAAUCGACCAUCACACCUAGCAAUCUCAUUUUGAGUGAAUUACUCUAUCUCCGGUAGACUCAUAUGGGGAAGCACUGGGUAUCAGUGGUUCAACUUAGGAACUUGAGUGGGACCCAAUUUAGUACAUAAAAAUGUCAAAGGUCGGUGUACAAAGGUAACUGAAAUGUAAGUUAGAACAAACAAAAACCAUGUGUGAGAGCAUUUGACCUUUGCUAUUCUAUUCUUUUUCCUUAAAAAUAACAUCAGUCAUGAGCCACUAUGAUGAUGAUUCCACAACCUAUUAAUGACUCUGGAUCACAGUUUUGCAGUCUAGGCCCCAUGGAGAUCUCUUCCAACACUGACCUCAGGGGCUAAGAAGACCCUGGCUGGGAUCAGAGACUUUAUCUUAAUGAUGAAGGAGCUGAGAGGCAUGAGCAGGCCUGGCUGGGAAAGGUCAGCUGUGUUGGUGACCUGGGGCUGGGGACCAGGGGCUCUGAGCUUCUCCUGAAGGGAGAAUAUGAGGCAGGGUGAGGACAGAUGGGUGAGAACCGUGUCUGGGACACAGUGCUGAGGACCAGAUCAGGGGGCCAUUGGAUGCAAGUGCAGGUGAGGAUGGAUGGAGCUGCCAGGAGCCAGGCUCUGGGUCAUGCAGGGACAGAGGCAAGCUGGGCACAAGAAUGGAAAGCCAAAGCUCACCCACACUGGGGGCUGGCGGUGUGGCACAGGGGCCCUGCCUGCUGUGGGUGUCAGAAGGAGUGCUGUCCUGAAAGGCCACAGCACUGAGGCUGGUGUGACAGGCCACCUCGUACACUUGACAGCUUGGGAAGUCUAGGAGAGAAGGUUUAGUCAAGUGCCAUAGAAAGCCACUCCCAAAAUUUCAAAAUCAUACUCCCAGUGUUUUGCCAGUUUCUCUAGUCAGUCACUUGAUUAUGUAGUUAUUGUCUCUUUGAGAAAAUGGAAAGCUAUUGCUUUGGAAUACAGUGAAAAUUCUCUAACCUGGCAUUUGAGUCACAGAGAUGUUCAGUAUCUUCCUACAACUUGAAUCUUCUUUUCCGUUUAUCCUUUGUAGUCCUCCUC